RNAcentral lists this ribosomal RNA (367 nucleotides) under uncultured bacterium. RNAcentral's name for it is "bacterial SSU rRNA". It matches the Rfam family "Bacterial small subunit ribosomal RNA", at positions 28 to 396 of the family's 1533-position model. The record is from RNAcentral.
GACGAACGCUGGCGGCGUGCUUAACACAUGCAAGUCGAGCGGUAAGGCCCUUUCGGGGGUACACGAGCGGCGAACGGGUGAGUAACACGUAUGCAACCUACCUUGUACAGGAGUAUAGCUCGGGGAAACUCGAAUUAACCCUCCAUGAGAUCAUAGAAUGGCAUCAUUUAGUGAUUAAAACUCAGGUGGUACAAGAUGGGCAUGCGUCUGAUUAGUUAGUUGGCGGGGUAAUGGCCCACCAAGACGAUGAUCAGUAGGGGACCUGAGAGGGUGAUCCCCCANACUGGCACUGAGAUACGGGCCAGACUCCUACGGGAGGCAGCAGUGGGGAAUCUUGCGCAAUGGGCGAAAGCCUGACGCAGCGACG